Long non-coding RNA from Homo sapiens (human), 1321 nucleotides. RefSeq lists it as uncharacterized. The record is from RefSeq and is a predicted model, not a curated record. Lineage: Eukaryota; Metazoa; Chordata; Mammalia; Primates; Hominidae. The transcript has 2 exons.
UCGGCCUCCCAAAGUGCUGGGAUUACAGGCGUGAGCCUCUACAUCCGGCCAGCAAUGGAUUUUUUAUCCUACCUCCCAUAUUGUUAUUUUCCAGCUGACAUUUGGAAACUAAAAGUCUCCCUGUGGUCCUUGCAGAAUAUUCCAUGCAUUUUUGUGCUCUGGAUCAAAGGAAGGUCGCUUCAUACACAGGGAAACGCAAUGAGAGACGAGCCAGGACAGGUGGCAUCUUGACCUCAUGUUUAGAGGCCUGGCCACCGUGGAAAUUUCCAGAAACAAACACCUUGGGGACCCUGGAUCCACUGGCGGCCAUUUCUCUUGAGAGAGGCUGGCGGUGCAGGUCAAGGAAGGAGGGAACGCUUAGGCAGCUGCUCUUCAGAAAUCUGAGACCCACCUCCCUUCCAUUCCAUUCUGGAGAGAGCAGGAGACACCUCAGAGAGGCUCAAACCACAGCCCAGGAGGAAGCCUUUCCAACAGCGUCCUUCCCAACACGGCUGGUCUGGGUGGCCCCUGAGAGGGUCUGCGGUGAACUGUGUGCAUCUGUGUGUCCUCUAGCCCCGCAGGGGUUAUGCAUUCGAAUCAUCGACAUUCAGUUUGCAGUUCUUCCUGGAGGCACAUGCCGAGAUCCCAUUGCUGGGCUUGGUCUGAGACCAGCUUUGGCCAAUGUCAAGGGGAUGCCAGGACAAAAGCCCAUCUGAGCAGAGGCUACCAGAGGCCAGUGUUAAAGAAAAAAGACUUCAUGACACUUGUUUAAGCUUGGUAAGGAAGACUUUGCCACCAGCAUGUCUCCAGUAGGGACUGGAAUGGUCCAGGAAUUCCUGCUGCUCCAGGAAUGAGCAAACAAGUGGCUGAUCUGCAGCCCACCUGAGCCCACCUGAGAUGCCAGCACUGGGGCACGUUCUGGGCGUGUUUGUUACUGCAACAAAGCUGAUUAAUGCAGCCUCUGCUGUUGAUUAACUUGGUCAUGCAGGGAGAGAAACUGAGUGCUCCCAGCAUAUUGAUUAUAAGAUGGGUGCUUUUGGAGUAGAAAGGGGCUUUGGAAAAACACUGAAUUUAAGUAGAGUCCCUGCUGCAUGGAAGACGGUCACCUGGCUUGCCCUUCCUGAGCACCUAAAAGCUCAUCUUUGUGCUGGUGAACAUAAAAAUGACAAAAGCGCUGAAGUUGUCAACUAAUUUUCAAAACAAAACCUCUAACUAUAGUUCAGUGAUACAGUGAGAUGCGUUGGAUUUGAUGUUGUUUAAGCACGCUGUGGCCUGCCAGUGGGGGAAUUUUCAGGGAAUUCUUACCAUUGCAGCUCACGAGGAAAUAAAAUGAUGACCACAA